UACAGGGGGGGCAAGCGUUGUUCGGAAUUACUGGGCGUAAAGGGCUCGUAGGCGGCCAACUAAGUCCGACGUGAAAUCCCAAGGCUUAACCUUGGAACUGCGUCGGAUACUGGUUGGCUUGAAUUCGGGAGAGGGAUGCAGAAUUCCAGGUGUAGCGGUGAAAUGCGUAGAUAUCUGGAGGAAUACCGGUGGCGAAGGCGGCAUCCUGGACCGACAUUGACGCUGAUGAGCGAAAGCUAGGGGAGCAAACGGG
This 253-nucleotide ribosomal RNA is filed under the name uncultured bacterium. Its description in RNAcentral is "partial 16S ribosomal RNA". It matches the Rfam family "Bacterial small subunit ribosomal RNA", at positions 524 to 776 of the family's 1533-position model. The record is from RNAcentral.